CACCAGCGCCACGAGUGGCCACCGCGAUUAUUGGGCCUAAAGCGUCCGUAGUCGGGCUUGUGCAUCUUCUGUGAAAUCGCUGCGCUUAACGUAGCGGCAUGCGGAAGACACGGCAAGCCUUGAGACUGGAAGGCGUCAGGGGUACUCCGGGGGGACCGGUAAAAUGGUAUAAUCCCCGGAAGACCACCUGUGGCGAAGGCGCCUGACGAGUACAGAUCUGACGAUGAGGGACGAAAGCCAGGGGAGCAAACCGG
This 254-nucleotide ribosomal RNA is filed under the name uncultured bacterium. RNAcentral's name for it is "partial 16S ribosomal RNA". It matches the Rfam family "Archaeal small subunit ribosomal RNA", at positions 474 to 727 of the family's 1478-position model. The record is from RNAcentral.